This 755-nucleotide ribosomal RNA is filed under the name Streptomyces mirabilis. Its description in RNAcentral is "bacterial SSU rRNA". It matches the Rfam family "Bacterial small subunit ribosomal RNA", at positions 54 to 826 of the family's 1533-position model. The record is from RNAcentral. Lineage: Bacteria; Bacillati; Actinomycetota; Actinomycetes; Kitasatosporales; Streptomycetaceae.
CAUGCAAGUCGAACGAUGAAGCCCUUCGGGGUGGAUUAGUGGCGAACGGGUGAGUAACACGUGGGCAAUCUGCCCUUCACUCUGGGACAAGCCCUGGAAACGGGGUCUAAUACCGGAUAACACUCCUCAGGGCAUCUUGAGGGGUUAAAAGCUCCGGCGGUGAAGGAUGAGCCCGCGGCCUAUCAGCUUGUUGGUGGGGUGAUGGCCUACCAAGGCGACGACGGGUAGCCGGCCUGAGAGGGCGACCGGCCACACUGGGACUGAGACACGGCCCAGACUCCUACGGGAGGCAGCAGUGGGGAAUAUUGCACAAUGGGCGAAAGCCUGAUGCAGCGACGCCGCGUGAGGGAUGACGGCCUUCGGGUUGUAAACCUCUUUCAGCAGGGAAGAAGCGAAAGUGACGGUACCUGCAGAAGAAGCGCCGGCUAACUACGUGCCAGCAGCCGCGGUAAUACGUAGGGCGCAAGCGUUGUCCGGAAUUAUUGGGCGUAAAGAGCUCGUAGGCGGCUUGUCACGUCGGAUGUGAAAGCCCGGGGCUUAACCCCGGGUCUGCAUUCGAUACGGGCUAGCUAGAGUGUGGUAGGGGAGAUCGGAAUUCCUGGUGUAGCGGUGAAAUGCGCAGAUAUCAGGAGGAACACCGGUGGCGAAGGCGGAUCUCUGGGCCAUUACUGACGCUGAGGAGCGAAAGCGUGGGGAGCGAACAGGAUUAGAUACCCUGGUAGUCCACGCCGUAAACGGUGGGAACUAGGUGUUGG